Molecule: ribosomal RNA, 292 nt
Filed under: uncultured bacterium
Lineage: Bacteria
Description: partial 16S ribosomal RNA
Rfam family: Bacterial small subunit ribosomal RNA
Source: RNAcentral
GUGUCAGCAGCCGCGGUAAUACAGAGGUCCCAAGCGUUGUUCGGAUUCACUGGGCGUAAAGGGUGCGUAGGCGGUCGGGCAAGUUUGAUGUGAAAUCUCCAAGCUUAACUUGGAAAUGGCAUUGGAUACUGCUUGGCUAGAGGAUUGGAGGGGAGACUGGAAUGCUCGGUGUAGCAGUGAAAUGCGUAGAUAUCGAGCGGAACACCAGUGGCGAAGGCGAGUCUCUGGACAAUUCCUGACGCUGAGGCACGAAAGCCAGGGGAGCAAACGGGAUUAGAUACCCUGGUAGUCC